RNAcentral lists this ribosomal RNA (501 nucleotides) under uncultured bacterium. RNAcentral describes it as "partial 16S ribosomal RNA". It matches the Rfam family "Bacterial small subunit ribosomal RNA", at positions 30 to 523 of the family's 1533-position model. The record is from RNAcentral.
AUUGAACGCUGGCGGCAGGCUUAACACAUGCAAGUCGAGCGGGGGAAGGUAGCUUGCUACCGGACCUAGCGGCGGACGGGUGAGUAAUGCUUAGGAAUCUGCCUAUUAGUGGGGGACAACAUCUCGAAAGGGAUGCUAAUACCGCAUACGUCCGACGGGAGAAAGCAGGGGAUCUUCGGACCUUGCGCUAAUAGAUGAGCCUAAGUCAGAUUAGCUAGUUGGUGGGGUAAAGGCCUACCAAGGCGACGAUCUGUAGCGGGUCUGAGAGGAUGAUCCGCCACACUGGGACUGAGACACGGCCCAGACUCCUACGGGAGGCAGCAGUGGGGAAUAUUGGACAAUGGGGGGAACCCUGAUCCAGCCAUGCCGCGUGUGUGAAGAAGGCCUUAUGGUUGUAAAGCACUUUAAGCGAGGAGGAGGCUACUUUAGUUAAUACCUAGAGAUAGUGGACGUUACUCGCAGAAUAAGCACCGGCUAACUCUGUGCCAGCCGCCGCCGUAA